This 314-nucleotide ribosomal RNA is filed under the name uncultured eukaryote. RNAcentral describes it as "partial 18S ribosomal RNA". It matches the Rfam family "Eukaryotic small subunit ribosomal RNA", at positions 1470 to 1796 of the family's 1831-position model. The record is from RNAcentral.
CCCUUAGAUGUUCUGGGCCGCACGCGCGCUACAAUGGCAGACUCAGCGAGUUACCUCUGUCGAAAGGCACAGGGAAUCUUUACAGUAUCUGCCGUGAUGGGGAUAGACCCUUGUAAUUUUUGGUCUUCAACGAGGAAUUCCUAGUAAACGCAAGUCAUUAACUUGCAUUGAUUACGUCCCUGCCCUUUGUACACACCGCCCGUCGCACCUACCGAUUGAAUGGUCCGGUGAAGUCCUCGGACCCAGUUGAACCUCGAGUUGAACAGGGAAAGUUGACUAAACCUUACCAUUUAGAGGAAGGUGAAGUCGUAACA